RNAcentral lists this ribosomal RNA (460 nucleotides) under uncultured bacterium. RNAcentral describes it as "partial 16S ribosomal RNA". It matches the Rfam family "Bacterial small subunit ribosomal RNA", at positions 338 to 795 of the family's 1533-position model. The record is from RNAcentral.
CCUACGGGUGGCAGCAGUGAGGAAUAUUGGUCAAUGGUCGGGAGCCUGAACCAGCCAAGUAGCGUGAAGGAUGAAGGUCCUGCGUGUUGUAAACUUCUUUUGUCAGGGAAUAAAGUCUGGCACGUGUGCAUUGUUGUGUGUACUUUAAGAAUAAGGAUCGGCUAACUCCGUGCCAGCAGCCGCGGUAAUACGGAGGAUCCGAGCGUUAUCCGGAUUUAUUGGGUUUAAAGGGUGCGGAGUUGGUCUGUUAAGUCAGUUGUGAAAGUUCGGGGCUCAACCGGAAAACUGCCUUUGAUACUGGCAGUCUCGAGUAGAGUAGAGGUAGGCGGAAUUCGUGGUGUAGCGGUGAAAGGCAUAGAUAUCACGAAGAACUCCGAUUGCGAAGGCAGCUUACUAAACUGACACUGACACUGAGGCUCGAAAGCGUGGGUAUCAAACAGGAUUAGAUACCCGUGUAGUC